GGCUCGGUAGUCUACCGGUACCAAUCCUUUCCUAUACGCACUCACGGGUCUCUUGGACUAAGACCAGAACGUAGAGAUAAGCUCGUAAUGGGGAAGGUUGGCGUGGGUUCGAAUCCCACCCGGGUCA
Hypomontagnella submonticulosa is the source of this 127-nucleotide non-coding RNA. NCBI's taxonomy places the organism in Eukaryota, Fungi, Ascomycota, Sordariomycetes, Xylariales, Hypoxylaceae. The record is from the annotation of a GenBank genome assembly.